UUAAUCCUACGGUGUGCGUUACGCUUUGGUUAUAAACCCACAGUAUUAUGCCGGGAGCGCACGUUGGUUAUGCGGAUGCUGGUUCGCAAGAACGUAAGGCAGAGGCAGCUACAGCGCACCCACCUGCCAAGAGGCGGGCAUUAUAACGAGGGCGGACGGCACCUUGGGAUUAAG
Molecule: non-coding RNA, 174 nt
Filed under: Christensenellaceae bacterium
Lineage: Bacteria; Bacillati; Bacillota; Clostridia; Christensenellales; Christensenellaceae
Description: 6S RNA
Rfam family: 6S / SsrS RNA
About the family: E. coli 6S RNA was the first non coding RNA to be sequenced, but its function was unknown until recently. It consists of 184 nucleotides that fold into an extended hairpin structure with a large single-stranded internal bulge.
Source: RNAcentral